Piliocolobus tephrosceles (Ugandan red Colobus) is the source of this 1841-nucleotide long non-coding RNA. NCBI's taxonomy places the organism in Eukaryota, Metazoa, Chordata, Mammalia, Primates, Cercopithecidae. The record is from Ensembl.
UUGUUAUAAAUAAUAGUAUUAAAAUAAUUAGAAUAAAUUAAAAAAAAAAAAUUAAUUUUUUUUCAUUUUUCAAUGGAUAAUUUUUUUUUCUUUUGUCAAAUAAUAUUUAAGUGUUACAUGUAAAAAAGAAAAAAAAAAUUAGUUUUACAACGUUCACAUCGUAAAAAUUGUAAAAAGUGAAAUAAUAUAUGUAAAAUAGUAUAUGUAAAAAGAAUAAUAUAUGCAAAAAAAAAAAAAAAAAAAAGAUAGUAAAAUAAUAGUUUACAUUAUUGACAUCAUUUACCGUAAGAUAUAAAGCAUGUGUAUAUAUAUAUAUAUAUAAUAUGCAACAUUUUAAACGUGUUAAAUGCAAAUGUAAUAAAAAAAAAAAUAUUCCAUUUGAACCAUUGAGUGGUUGUUACAACUGAUAAUACUCGUCCAUUAACACAUAACUGAACAAAAAAAAAAAAUAAAAAAAAAAAAAAAGAAAUCUCUAUACACAAUAUACAGUUUAAAAAUAACAAAACAACGUUUGGUUUAUAUUUAUAUAAUAUGGUUGAAUGUAAUAACACCCACAUUAGCAGCAAAAAUAAUUAUAAGUACGAUUCUUCUAAUAUAAACAUGUCUAAUCAUCCAGCAGGUAUUUCUUAUCAAGGAAAUCAUAAUCAUAAUAAUGGCUUUUGCAAUAACGAAAACAACAACUAUGAAAAAUACCAAUUGACACUAAGUAGUGACAAGGAUAACAUACAGUCUCCCAAAUCAAAUUAUAGUACAGAUUCUCCGGUGAAAUAUAGUAACGAAACAUAUGAAGAGCGAACAAAAUAUAAUAAAAAAAAAAGUACUUUUUACGAUCAUGGUACAACACAUAAUAUUUUUCCAUUUAAUACUUCGACAUAUCAUAAUAAUAAAACAAAUUUUAAUAAAAGUAAUGAUACCCCUAUAAGUAACACGAAGUUAUCUGAUGAAUACAAAAAUAAUACGAAUAACAUAAAUAUGUAUAAAAACGAUGAUACAAUAAUUGAUAUAUCACAUGAUAACAAAAAGGGGACAACCAAUUAUUACUCAAGCUGUAGUGAUAGUGGUAAUAACGACUAUAGUAAAGAUAGUAACAAUAUCUACAACACGUUGCCUAAAAAUUGUGAACAAACGAACUGUUACAAACAGUAUAACGCUGAUGACAACUAUCAAACUAGUUCGCAACUUCAUAUCCAAAACUAUGGCGAUAAUUGUGAAAAUAAAGCUUUAGCUGAAAAUAUUAUGAGUUUAAAAGAAGAAAGAAUAAAUGCUACUACUAAUGUAAGUGUCGACAGUACUGAUACAAUUGAUAUAUAUAAUACUACAAAAUAUAAUAAAGAAGAAGGUAAUGAUUUAAAUAAAGAUGUGCAUUGCAAAAUAGAGGACCGAAGUGACAACUUUUAUGUUAAUAGGGUUAAAGAUCUGAGCCAUACUAAAAUUUUUAAUGAAACCAAUAGUUAUGAAUCUAAAAGAUAUAAUUCUAAAAAAAAUACAACUAACAAUGAAUUUGUUCCUAAAUACAAACAACUUUCUUCGAAAGAGGCGCUUUAUAAUAAUUUGAUAGGAAAUGAUAAUAUAACAGUUUUAGCAGCUAAUAAAAUAAAAUUAGAUUUAAGUAAAUUACAACAAAAAGAUGUUGGCGCAUUACCCGAUGUGUAUCCUUUCCAUUUAUCAGCAGAAAAUAACAAAAAUAAUAAUAAUAAUACUAGUAGUAGUAAUAUUACUAAUAAUUCUAAGAAUAUACGGUUAGAAAAAUUAUACCCAACCAAUUAUAAUUAUAUUAAUAAUUAUAAUACAAAUAAUGCUGAUAUAACUGUGGAGGAAAGAAGAAAUUAUAUGAACUCUAG